GAUGAACGCUGGCGGCGUGCUUAACACAUGCAAGUCGAACGGAAAGACCCUGCUUUUGUGGGUUGCUCGAGAGGGGAACGCGUGUGUGACACGUGAGUAUCCUGUCCUUGACUUUGGGAUAACAUCAGGAAAAUGGGGCUAAUACCAGAUAGGAGAUCCUGCACCAUGGAGUGGGUUGGAAAGUUUCGGCGGUUGUGGAUGGACUAGCGGCUUAUCAGCUUGUUGGUGGGGUAGUGGCUUACGCAGUGUUUGAAGGGUAGCCGGCAUGGGAGGGUGGACGGCCUCAGUGCGCCUGCGGUACGCCCCAGACGCCAAUGUUAGGCAGCAGUGGAGAGUCUGACACAACGGGGGGGAGCCUGAUGCGGCAACGCCGCGUGCGGGAAGACGUCCUUCGGGUUGAAAACAGCUGUCGGCUGAAACGCAGCUUGAGUGACGGUAAUGGGUGAAGAAGCACCGGCUAACUACGUG
This 468-nucleotide ribosomal RNA is filed under the name uncultured bacterium. Its description in RNAcentral is "partial 16S ribosomal RNA". It matches the Rfam family "Bacterial small subunit ribosomal RNA", at positions 28 to 507 of the family's 1533-position model. The record is from RNAcentral.